GUCUUUUUGAUUAUAAUUUAAAGUCUAACCUGCCCACUGAAAUUUUUGAAGGGCCGCGGUAUUUUGACUGUGCAAAGGUAGCAUAAUCAUUAGUCUUUUAAUUGGAGGCUUGUAUGAAUGGUUGGAUGAGGUAUUAACUGUCUCAAUUUAAUAAAUAAAAGAAUUUUAUUUUUAAGUUAAAAAGCUUAAAUGAAAUUAAAAGACGAGAAGACCCUAUAGAUCUUUAUAAUUAAUUUUAUAAUAAUUUUUUAGAUAAAAUUUAUUUUUAUAAAAUAAAUUAUUGUAUUGGGGUGAUAAAAAAAUUUAUAAAACUUUUUUUGUAAAAAAAAACAAUUAUAUUUGAUUAAUUGAUCCAUUUUUUGUGAUUAUAAGAUUAAGUUACCUUAGGGAUAACAGCGUAAUUUUUUUGGAGAGUUCUUAUCGAUAAAAAAGAUUGCGACCUCGAUGUUGAAUUAAAGGUUAAUUUUAGGUGUAGAAGUUUAAAAUUUUGGUCUGUUCGACCAUUAAAUC
Molecule: ribosomal RNA, 510 nt
Filed under: Parachauliodes rastellus
Lineage: Eukaryota; Metazoa; Arthropoda; Insecta; Megaloptera; Corydalidae
Description: partial large subunit ribosomal RNA
Rfam family: Bacterial large subunit ribosomal RNA (bases 389-510)
Source: RNAcentral